This 497-nucleotide ribosomal RNA is filed under the name uncultured bacterium. Its description in RNAcentral is "partial 16S ribosomal RNA". It matches the Rfam family "Bacterial small subunit ribosomal RNA", at positions 28 to 507 of the family's 1533-position model. The record is from RNAcentral.
GAUGAACGCUGGCGGCGUGCCUAAUACAUGCAAGUCGAGCGAACAGAUGAGGAGCUUGCUCCUCUGACGUUAGCGGCGGACGGGUGAGUAACACGUGGAUAACCUACCUAUAAGACUGGGAUAACUUCGGGAAACCGGAGCUAAUACCGGAUAAUAUAUUGAACCGCAUGGUUCAAUAGUGAAAGACGGUUUUGCUGUCACUUAUAGAUGGAUCCGCGCCGCAUUAGCUAGUUGGUAAGGUAACGGCUUACCAAGGCAACGAUGCGUAGCCGACCUGAGAGGGUGAUCGGCCACACUGGAACUGAGACACGGUCCAGACUCCUACGGGAGGCAGCAGUAGGGAAUCUUCCGCAAUGGGCUAAAGCCUGACGGAGCAACGCCGCGUGAGUGAUGAAGGUCUUCGGAUCGUAAAACUCUGUUAUUAGGGAAGAACAAAUGUGUAAGUAACUAUGCACGUCUUGACGGUACCUAAUCAGAAAGCCACGGCUAACUACGUG